AUACCCAGUUCUUAGAACAGUGCCUGACACUUAAAGGGUGACGCUUAAUUCCUUCUUAAUGAAUGCAGAAAUUCAGGUGUGAUUUAUUUAUUUAUUUUUUAAUCUCACCAAAAACUCACUUUGACCGAAUGAAUGGACCCAAAUUAAAAGAAAAAAAUAAAACAGUCAGCAUGAGGACUUCUACUGUGGUCACAUAGCAUCUUGUUUGGUUUAGAUUCUCAGCCUCUCUGACAAAGCUUUUCUUCUGUCCUCACUGAACCAGAGAUGUUGGACAAUUUCUGAGCAAAGAGAAAAAAAUGUUGUUCACUUAGAAGUGCUUAUAAUCCGAUUAACCUAAAUCCCAAUAAAUGUGACAUUACCAGCCAAAAUGCUUUAUAACUUUGAUAUUUGUAAAUGGGAGCUACAGACAAAUCUUACUAAACCUUUUUAGAUUCUGGUUGUAUAGAUUCUGGCUGUAUUAUUCCCACUGAACGAAAUUUCAUCUUGCAUAUAGAAAACUUAAAAGGCUGCUAGUCCAGAACGUUUCCAUAGGGGUAAUGAAAAUCAUGGAAUGGCUGAAGACUGGAUUUAAUUGUAUACUUAGCAGGCUAGUAUUUAAUUUCUCCUGAGGUCAUUAAUUAUAUAGCUUAUCACAUUGAGAGAAAUUGCCGUCUUUGAUAAUAUAAAAUUGAAUUUCAUUUGAUAAUCACGAUGAAGUACAGACUAUCAAGUAUGCAUUCCUUUUCCAUGGUGUUGACAUUCAGGUAUCGUCAGUUUUCUUAGUGCUUUAAAUUAUAUGGUGGAGUGGCUGCCAAAAUACUUGAAAGGAGAAUAAAUAGAUUUACUGAUUCAAAUUUGGCAGUAAUUUUGCAGGAAUGAGGAUAGGCCGUUACAACAUUCUAAUCACAAAACUCCAAAGGGAUUUCAGUGUAAUCUUUAUGUUUUAAGUACUGUUUAGUUGUUGGACUAAGAUACCGUGUGCUCCUGUAAUUGUCUUUGAGCUUUGUGCACUGGGUAAUCCUUUAGCAUGAUCAAUCCAGAGGGGUGAAGAGGGAUGAAUUAGCUAUCUUUUUACCUAUUUCCCAGAAACAGUCCCUAGAAACUAGAGGAAAAGUUUUCUAAAGGAUUGGCGAUAGGUAGUUUGGUCCCACCGAGUGGCUAUAGUUCCAAAGUUGGUACCUUAAAUGACACGUGUGUUCUAUUUCCUUGGUGUUAGCUAUGAGAAUUGCUAUACAGAGUUUUCAGACUUGGGACAUUGGGAGCAAACAGAACAAAAUGGAGAGCCACUUCCUUCGCUUUAUUAGAUCUGAGUUUUCUGAGGCUAUAGAAAUGUAUCGUUUUGUUAAAUUUGUUUAAUUAUGCUCUGUCUUUGUUUGUAGUGCCUACCCAUUGCGUGGCAAUUUCCUUAAGGUCAAAGACUGUCUCAAUCCAUAUAACCCAUAGCAGAAAACCAGUAGGCUUACCAGGUUCUUACCUGAUGUUUUACUGGAUAGGCUGUUAUUUUAACUUUCAGUUUGGUAAGUCAAAAGUAAAAAACUAGAUGGCAGUGGAUUUUAAAGGUGGAUUUUAAAAUAUUAUCAAUAUUUUCUUCUCAGUGCUCCUAGGACAGAGACAGGAUUUGGGGCUGACCAUUUCUGUGUUCUGGGAGGGAUUCUUUUGUGGGCACUCUGAGUCAUGCAGGUGUGAAUCAAGUCAAACUAAGUCGCAUGUAUUGAUUUCUUAUUAUGUGCGGCACUUUUCUAAAUGGUAGUAACUCAUUUAAGCCUCAUAACAACCUUGUGAUAUAGGUACUAAAUACUAACUUCAUUCUAUGAAUGAGGCAACUGAGGUACAAGUCAUACAGUGUAAGGGGUAGACCUGGGAUUUGAGACCAGGAAGUCAGGCUGCAGAGCAUAUAUUUAGAGACAGUCACAACUACUUCCUUAUAUGUCUUGGAAUGGUUCCCAACAGUGCCAAAGGAAUCCAAAAGCACUUAUUUCAGACAAGGAUUUUGAAUGUUAUGUUUUCUAAUGUAAAAAGCCAUCCUAUGGAAGAAGCCAUAUCUCUUCAGAACCUCUAUGUAUGUAAUGUAUGGAUGUAUGUAUGUAUCUAUGUAGUCUACUUACUGUGGUCGGCAGAAUAGUGCCCACCCAGAGAUGUUUAUGCCCUAAUCUUGAAGGCUGUGGAUAUGUUAUGUUACAUGGCAAGGGUGAAUUAAGGUUGCAGGUGGAAUCAAGAUUUCUAAUGUGCUGACCUUAACAUUCGGAGACUAUCCUGAGUUAUUUGGGAGGACCCAGUGUGAAAGUGGAAUUGGGAGUCAGAAGGGCAUUAGAAUCAUAAAAUAGGAGAAAGAUUUGACCAGCCAUUGCAGUCUUUACAGAUGGAAAGAACCACAAGCCUGGAAUUGUGACUACCUUUUAGAAGCUGUAAAAGGCGAAGAAAUGGAUCCUUCUUCUAUAACCUCAAGAAAGAAUUGCAGCCCUGCUACAUUUUGAUUUUAGCUCUGUGAGACCCAUGCCAGACUUCUGACCUCCAGGACUAUAAGAAAAGAAAUUUGUGUUGUUUUAAGACAGGAAGUUUGUGGUAAUUUUUUAUAUUGGCAAUAGGAAAGUAAUAUACUUACUUAUUUACCAUAAGUGAGGAAUUGGUAAUUUCUUUGGUGGGUGGGGAGAUAGGGCUUGGGGGUUUUUGUUAAUGAUAGGAGACAAAAAAAAAAUCUAAGAAUCUCUAGGUCAACUAAGAGCUGGCCUCAGAAUUUUUUAUUCAAAAGUUAAUUAUAAAUUUACUAAGAUUAGGUCAGUGUUGUGCAAUAUUUAUGAUUUUUCUGAAUUCUCAACACAUGAACAUCGUUCAAGAUUGAAAAAGUGUAGAAGAACAUAAAACGCACAAUGCCUGUCAUGAAGAGGGAGCUCAGCAAGUAACAACUCCGUCUGGACACCUUUUCCCCCACAGCCGAAGGAAAAGCGAAGUAGAUUUGGGAAGCUACAAUCAAGGUCAUUUGGGAAGUAGGACCCAGUGUAUUAGCAUUACCUGUGGGUGUCCACAUAGAGAUUUAUAGACACAGGAAAGGCUAGAUCAUGAGAGUGCCCCGUAAAGGCACCACGUUUCACCAGGGAGAAAUGCAUGCAAGUUACCUCACAAAUGUUAAGAAAUAUGCCUAAUUAAUUGUAUGGUGCAUUUUCCAUGGUAUUUGCUUUAUUCAUUUCAUGUGCAUUUUGAUUAAAAAUUUUACAUUUUAUUAUCUCUUAUGUUUUUCAAUAAAUACAAACCAGGACUGA
This is a long non-coding RNA of Felis catus (domestic cat), 3236 nucleotides long. RefSeq lists it as uncharacterized. The record is from RefSeq and is a predicted model, not a curated record. NCBI's taxonomy places the organism in Eukaryota, Metazoa, Chordata, Mammalia, Carnivora, Felidae. The transcript has 3 exons.